This 320-nucleotide unclassified non-coding RNA is filed under the name Hevea brasiliensis (rubber tree). Lineage: Eukaryota; Viridiplantae; Streptophyta; Magnoliopsida; Malpighiales; Euphorbiaceae. The record is from RNAcentral.
CAGAAUUCAAUCUGCUGGAAUUGAUGCCUCUGGAAAGUUGAAAGCCGAUCUUCAUCUCAUUAAGAAUUCCUCCUCUUUUGGUCCUGACCUUCAAAAUCUAAACCUGAUUGCCAGCUUCGAGUCAAAAGAUCGCUUGAGGAUUCACAUAGCAGAUUCCAAUAAGCAAAGAUGGGAAAUCCCUCAAGAUAUAAUUCCCCGCCAAAAUGUUGACUUUGCAGUGAACCAUAUCAGUUCAUUGGAAAACCAGUUUAUUUCAGAUUCCAACUCCGACCUCAUCUUCACUCUCUACAACACCACGCCCUUCGGCUUCUCCGUUGCCC